RNAcentral lists this ribosomal RNA (688 nucleotides) under uncultured Bacilli bacterium. RNAcentral's name for it is "bacterial SSU rRNA". It matches the Rfam family "Bacterial small subunit ribosomal RNA", at positions 43 to 715 of the family's 1533-position model. The record is from RNAcentral. Lineage: Bacteria; Bacillati; Bacillota; Bacilli.
UUGGCCCAACUGAUUGAACGUGCUUGCACGGACUUGACGUUGGUUUACCAGCGAGUGGCGGACGGGUGAGUAACACGUAGGUAACCUGCCCCAAAGCGGGGGAUAACAUUUGGAAACAGAUGCUAAUACCGCAUAAUAAUUUGAAUCGCAUGAUUCAAAUUUAAAAGAUGGCUUCGGCUAUCACUUUGGGAUGGACCUGCGGCGCAUUAGCUUGUUGGUAGGGUAACGGCCUACCAAGGCUGUGAUGCGUAGCCGAGUUGAGAGACUGAUCGGCCACAAUGGAACUGAGACACGGUCCAUACUCCUACGGGAGGCAGCAGUAGGGAAUCUUCCACAAUGGGCGCAAGCCUGAUGGAGCAACACCGCGUGAGUGAAGAAGGGUUUCGGCUCGUAAAGCUCUGUUGUUAGAGAAGAACGUGCGUGAGAGCAACUGUUCACGCAGUGACGGUAUCUAACCAGAAAGUCACGGCUAACUACGUGCCAGCAGCCGCGGUAAUACGUAGGUGGCAAGCGUUAUCCGGAUUUAUUGGGCGUAAAGCGAGCGCAGGCGGUUUGAUAAGUCUGAUGUGAAAGCCUUUGGCUUAACCAAAGAAGUGCAUCGGAAACUGUCAGACUUGAGUGCAGAAGAGGACAGUGGAACUCCAUGUGUAGCGGUGGAAUGCGUAGAUAUAUGGAAGAACACCAGUGG